AUUGCUGAGGAGCGUUGCGACCCCCGGAUCGGGGGCCAGGCUCAGCGAAAAUGAACGGCGCUCGCACUGG
Molecule: non-coding RNA, 70 nt
Filed under: Betaproteobacteria bacterium
Lineage: Bacteria; Pseudomonadati; Pseudomonadota; Betaproteobacteria
Description: SAH sequence
Rfam family: SAH (S-adenosyl-L-homocysteine) riboswitch aptamer
Source: RNAcentral